This 485-nucleotide long non-coding RNA is filed under the name Helianthus annuus (common sunflower). The record is from RNAcentral. Lineage: Eukaryota; Viridiplantae; Streptophyta; Magnoliopsida; Asterales; Asteraceae.
CUUUCCUUCCUUUUGAUAAUCUCGGCCGAACACACACAUAUACCCACUUCCUUUCAAAUUUCAAACAUUUUCUUUGAAGAUCAAAGCCAUUUCAAGCUAGUUUCAAGGUGUUUUGAAGAUUCAAGGGUGAUUUCAAGGUGAUUCCAAGAAGGUGCAAGCUCCAUAUCAUCAAACCUUGUCAAAAACCCACCAAGAUCUUGAAGAAAAGUGAUAUCUUGGAAGUUUAUGUAUACAUGAGUCCGGCUUCGGGAAUUUUGGCUUGUAUUGUCAUCUGGUUGUGUGAUGCGAUUGUAAUUAAAUAAUGUUUGGACACUUUUAAACUACAUAUGGGACCGUGUGUAAUAAGACCCAUAAGGGUCAAACAACUAAGAUGUGGAACCAAAUGUCCAACAUAAAUAUUGCAUCGACCACUAAGACAUUUAUGGGUACCAACCUCCGUCACUGCCACAUUUGUAUUUCCGCUACGACGUUUUUGGGGUGUGACA